Hippocampus zosterae (dwarf seahorse) is the source of this 1108-nucleotide long non-coding RNA. RefSeq lists it as uncharacterized. The transcript is spliced from 3 exons. The record is from RefSeq and is a predicted model, not a curated record. Lineage: Eukaryota; Metazoa; Chordata; Actinopteri; Syngnathiformes; Syngnathidae.
AUCAGAAAUAGUCACGGGUUGAUUGGUAUUUGAUUGUUUUCGUGUGUUUUACUGGUGGAAUAGUUUGGGAAAUAGCAUCCAACUCUGUGGAACCUGACUCCUUUAUGUAUCACCAAACCUCAAUGGUAAUCGUCAAAAUUUAAGAUUUGCCGCCGGCUAAAUCCACGACCUAACUCGGAUUGAAUCAAAAAUGAUUGCAGCUCUUAAUUCGCGAAACCCAUCUCUUAAAAUCGUCAUGAGUGACACUUUAACAUUGUGGCGGAAUGAUGAUAUUAUACGCAACACAAAAACAGACAAAUGUCAUUGUGCACGACGAAAUAGAAAUGCCACUGGAGCACACGCGUGUCAACUAGGACCAUCUGCCAUCUAGUGGAGGAUUUCUUUGUUUUGCCUGUCACGAUACAGUACUGCGUUGUAGGCAGCGGGAUUUGACAAAUGAUGAUGGUUGUGUAAAUUGAGGGGUCCGUUGUUUUUAAUCUAUGGCUCUGCUUUACGAACGGCAAAAAGAGAGAUGGAAAAACGUCAGCAGCGCACCACGUUCGGGAACACACUCCUUCGGCAACUAAAAUCACUUCCUGCUUUCCCUUCACUUCAACAGCCAAUCAGAAUCUAUCAACAUAAAAAACAAGUUUAAGCAAUUAUUAAACAACAGAAUGCAAUGUAGGUAAUCUUAACAUGAAAUAAUAUGUUCAAACAUAAAAUAAUUAAUAAUAUAAAAUAAGAUUACAGUUGAUUUGACACCUCUGCUUUGCCCUAAAUUUCUCUCAAUGCUGCCGAAAGUCACAAGGACAAGCAAAUGUCACACUCUCGCGGGUAAAGUCGUCAUUCUUGUUCACACUUUGCUAGGCCCUGACGUCAACCCGGGUCACAAAAUAAUCUCAGAUUUUAAUCCCUGUCAUGCACUAUGGGAUUAGUGGCAGUACAGAGGGGAUUUUUUCCUCAACUGAAAGUCACACACGUCGAAAGACCCCAGCAAAAGGUUUUGGAAUAUAGUUUUUUUUCUUUGCCCCCUGGAAAAAAAAGGAGUUUACCACAAAGUACAGUGCAACUCUAAUUCUAAUAUCAGGAUCCAUCAAAAACAAUGAUUUAAAAAUGACAUGAAGGACUU